GCUGAGAAACUUUGUGGCUCUCAUUUUAAUAUGGAACCGAACUGUCUACAGCAGCACUGAAGAUGAUGCUGGUUGGUUUCGCAUUCCAAUUGAUAAGGUGGGCGAAAGCCUCUUUCUAAGCAGUCACUCUGGCACGACUCAUGAGUACAACCCGCUAAAUCUCUGCAUGAGCGUCGUUGAAGUACAAUGCAAUACAUCACAUAAUAAAAAAAUAGUAAUACAAUCCAUAAAACAAAAAUAUUUGUUGAUAGAUUAAUUAAUUUCAAUAUUUGGAAACAUCAUGUAAAAUAUAAAUAAUGUUGCUUACUUGCUUGGCAAGACGGCAACGUUGAGAACAUGAAGACAACGACCAAUAAAGCAACAGCUAUGUUGUACAUGAUCAUCCUUGUGUUUCUCUUGAUGAGUUCCAUGAGGAAAAAUGUGACUUAUGUUCGAUCUUUGUUUUUCAUUUCCAAGCUCCUUUACAGGUGUUUAUAUAGACGCACAAUAAAAUCUUAGAUAUCAGUUGGUUAAUUUCAUGCAUUUAUGUACCUCCCCUAAUUAGUAUCAGCAUAUUUUGCUAGUUUUACAUAAAUACCAAAGAUUUUAUUUCACAAAAAAUAUAUGUUUCAUCAUUAUGGCAUUUAAUGUUGAAGAUAGCAUAUUGAGCCAAAAUAAAAUCUUUAGGUAUCGGCACUGCAUUUAUGUCUCCAUUAUAAAAUAGUACCCAUACCGAUCUUGUUGGCUAUUUUGUAUCAUCCACACUUAUGUAAGUAUAUCUUACAUUUAUUUUACAUUAUUGUUUGUGUGGUAUAUAGUUUUAGUAUAUACAGAGGCUUGCACAAUCAAAUCUUAUGCAUUGAUGAAUCUUGCAUAUACUUGAUCUCAAAAAUAAAUAUUGCUGGAGUACUCCAUACUCAUGAAUAUUAGUUAUCAAUAUUGCACUUUUUCUGCUAAAUUAAUGUUGAUGUAUCUUAUUGAAUCUUAAUAAAUAUCAUGCAAUCAUUUGUAUAUGUUAUGAUUAUUGAUAUUUUUUGCGGCAUUUAUUGACCUCUAUUAUAUGGUGGCAUGCAAAAUUAUUGAUAUUGCUUCUUUUCGCUUCAUUUGUAUUAUACAUUGCUAUAAAUUUUGCAUUUAUAUUCAAUCAACAAUAAAUAAAUGCUUGGACAAACGUAAGCUUGUACUUACUGACGAAUAUGCAGCCCGUUAGUAGCAACACCAUUGUAGUAAACAUUUCAGAGUUUUUCCCGUUAUGCUUAUAACCGGCUAUAAUAAUUGAUCUUUAAUGUUUCAUGCUUCAGGGUAUUUAUACAAAUGUCUCCCAUUUUAUUGAACAAAUGGAAGGGCACAACAACCAAGAUCUUUCUUGUGGGUCUUGCAUAAUUGGAAACUGAUUACAUGGUUUCAUGCUUAUGCACAUCUUAUUAUUCCUUAGUUAACGUAGGAUUUGCAGUACUUUAUGCUUGAGUUGAUGUAUGUCAUCUGAAUCAGAAUGGAGCCUGAACCAAAUUGUAUGACUCAUUUUCACUAGGUGCACAUACUGCUGCUCUUCUAUAUGGAAUGUGAUACUGGGGUAUUAAUACUUAGUGUUGCUAUCUCAGAUAUUGCUAAAAAAAAGUCUCCGGUUUUGUAACUUGGUACGCUCGAGUGGUGCAAUACUUUUCAACUAUUUGCACCUUUCAUUUAAAAACAUUGUAACCCAUUGACGCUGAAAAGUGGCACGAUCAUAAAGAGUAGCUUGAACUAUGUCAAGAUUAAUUCAGACUUAUUAUUGAAGUCACUAUGGGAUGGAUCUCUUCCAGAAGAUCAAAAUGGAUAUGAAGAUGGUCUAAAACAGAGCCCCGAUGCAGAAGUUGUGACAAGUUCAAAGAUUGGAUAUAGUAUCGACCCUACUAUCUCGGUAGGCGAACCGGGACUAAAGGCAUUAGGCUUUAGUACCGACCCUAUAGUCCCGGUUCCCGAACCGGGACAAAUGGGCGUUAUGAACCGGGACAAACGGGCCUUUUUCUACUAGUGCAUACUGGACCUACCCAAUAAAUAUUUCAGAAAUUCAUAAUAAUCCUAGAGGCUAGCUUGGACAAUUCACGCAUGUCAAGAGGUGGGACUAAAAUUUAGUCCCACAUUGCUAGUUGAGAGAGAGUUACACCUCCACAUAAGGUGAGCUCUUUCCCCACUUGUAUGAGCAUGAUAAAAAGAGAGAUUCUCACACGCUCCUCCCCUGCCGCCCGCCUUGCCUCAUCACGACACACUGCGUCGCGCCACGGGCUAUGGGAAUGCCUAGAGCAUGCAUGAAGCUGAGGUGUUUUGUUGAUGUAGUUAGUGGAGAUUGGUUACAAGGUUUGUUCGGCUUUGGCUGCUAUGUCUCCGUUUCCUGUCUCUUUGUUUCAUUUCCUGUCACAGCCUAUUUGCCUCCUCUUUCUGUGCUUAUAAAAUAGAGGUAUCUCCUCUCCAUAGACACACAUAAACAGAGCACCACUUGCCUCCUACUACCAUGUUCCAGAGCACUACGCUACCAGGUUCUUCUCCAUCCCGGCUUAUGGCGUGCAUCACCGAUAGGGACAGUAGGCCUCCGGAACCACGCGACAUUGAGUCAUGCACGGGUGAAGGGAAAUAAGGUGUUUGGGGAGCGCUCUGUGCGACUACUGGCUUCUCCACCCCAGAUGUCGCUACAGAUGUUGAAGACACUUUCCCCAAUGAUGACUUCUUUUAGGACAUCGGCAACCUCUUCGGUAACAAGGGAAAUAACAUCACGAAUGGCGCCGCCCCUGCUCCUGUCUAGGACAUGUUCACUUCUCCUCUAUUUAAUAUGUUUUUAUCCUAAUUUUAGUUCAAUUUCAUGUUCUAGCAAUUGGACUACAUAUGCCAUGUUCAAAUUCACUACUACAUAUGUUAUUUUCUCACUCUCUGAUAGACUACAUGUCUAGUUUAAUCUUUACUAUUAUGGUCAUGUUUUAUCUACUAUUUUUAUGGAUUAAAUCACAUGGUAAACUGCUCAUAUUUCCAACACGCCCCAUGUACAUGUAUGGGUGUAACAAACACAUCCUAUGAGGCCAGUCUCCCUUCAUCAAAAUGUUCCAUGGCAAUCCAAUGAGAUUGAUGCCUCUAAUACCUAUGUUUAUCAGAAAAUAUAAGUUUAUUCAAUUAUUGGCAUCAGUAUACAGCAUUGCAUUGCAUAAGCUAAGAAACUUUGUGGCUCUCAUUUUAAUAUGGAACCGAACUGUCUACAGCAGCACUGAAGAUGAUGCUGGUUGGUUUCGCAUUCCAAUUGAUAAGGUGGGCGAAAGCCUCUUUCUAAGCAGUCACUCUGGCAAGACUCAUGAGUGCAACCCACUAAAUCUCUGCAUGAGCGUCGUUGAACUACAAUGCAAUACAUCACAUAAUAAAAAAAUUAGUAAUACAGUCUAUAAAACAAAAAUAUUUGCUCAUAGAUUAAUUAAUUUCAACAUUUGGAAACAACAUGUAAAAUAUAAAUAAUGUUGCUUACUUGCUUGGCAGGACGGCAACGUUGAGAACAUGAACACAAUGACCAAUAAGGCAACAGCUAUGUUGUACAUGACAAUCCUUGUGUUUCUCUUGAUGAGGUGCCAUGAGGAAAAAUGUGACUUAUGUUCGAUCUUUGUUUUUCAUUUCCAUGCUCCUUUACAGGUGUUUAUAUAGACG
Molecule: long non-coding RNA, 3639 nt
Filed under: Triticum aestivum (bread wheat)
Lineage: Eukaryota; Viridiplantae; Streptophyta; Magnoliopsida; Poales; Poaceae
Description: long non-coding RNA (TAES_LNC010780)
Source: RNAcentral